RNAcentral lists this ribosomal RNA (253 nucleotides) under uncultured bacterium. RNAcentral's name for it is "partial 16S ribosomal RNA". It matches the Rfam family "Bacterial small subunit ribosomal RNA", at positions 524 to 776 of the family's 1533-position model. The record is from RNAcentral.
UACGUAGGGCGCAAGCGUUGUCCGGAAUUAUUGGGCGUAAAGAGCUCGUAGGCGGUUUGUCGCGUCUGUCGUGAAAGCCCACGGCUUAACCGUGGGUCUGCGGUGGAUACGGGCAGACUAGAGGCAGGUAGGGGAGAAUGGAAUUCCCGGUGUAGCGGUGAAAUGCGCAGAUAUCGGGAGGAACACCGGUGGCGAAGGCGGUUCUCUGGGCCUGUACUGACGCUGAGGGGCGAAAGCGUGGGGAGCGAACAGG